This 422-nucleotide ribosomal RNA is filed under the name uncultured bacterium. RNAcentral describes it as "partial 16S ribosomal RNA". It matches the Rfam family "Bacterial small subunit ribosomal RNA", at positions 359 to 772 of the family's 1533-position model. The record is from RNAcentral.
GAAUAUUGGACAAUGGGGGGAACCCUGAUCCAGCCAUGCCGCGUGUGUGAAGAAGGCCUUUUGGUUGUAAAGCACUUUAAGCGAGGAGGAGGAGCUCUUGGUUAAUACCCAAGAUGCUUGGACGUUACUCGCAGAAUAAGCACCGGCUAACUCUGUUCCAGCAGCCGCGGUAAUACAGAGGGUGCAAGCGUUAAUCGGAUUCACUGGGCAUAAAGCUCUCUUACAGUGCCAAUUAACUACCAUUUGAACUCCCCUGACUUAACUUUGUAAUUGCAUUCGAUACUGGUUGGCUAGAGUAUGGAACAUUAUAAUCAUCUUCCCGCUAUCUCUGUUCCCUCCCUACCACUCUAACUUCCUCCCUAUUUCGCCAUCCUCCAUCUUUCCUAAUACUGACACUGAGGUGAGAAAGCAUGGGGAGCAAA